GGCAUGGUGGCGUAGUGGUUAGCAUGUUUUCCUCACACCUUCAGGGUUGAGGGUUUGAUUCCCGUUGCUGCCC
This is a non-coding RNA of Ameiurus melas (black bullhead), 73 nucleotides long. NCBI's taxonomy places the organism in Eukaryota, Metazoa, Chordata, Actinopteri, Siluriformes, Ictaluridae. The record is from the annotation of a GenBank genome assembly.